This is a non-coding RNA of Vicia faba (fava bean), 201 nucleotides long. NCBI's taxonomy places the organism in Eukaryota, Viridiplantae, Streptophyta, Magnoliopsida, Fabales, Fabaceae. The record is from the annotation of a GenBank genome assembly.
AUGUCAUACAGAAAUCAUCAUUUGAUAAUAUAUAGAGCUAAAAACAAAAGUUACUUCAGAUCCAUUAUAUAUAGAGCUAAGAACAAGAGUUACCCCAGAUCCAUUAUCAUCAUUUUCUGUUUCAACCUGUUGGUAAUAUAUAGAGCUAAGAACAAAAUUUACCUCAGAUCCAUUAUCAUCAUUUUCUUCGCAAAACCCUAA